This 253-nucleotide ribosomal RNA is filed under the name uncultured bacterium. RNAcentral describes it as "partial 16S ribosomal RNA". It matches the Rfam family "Bacterial small subunit ribosomal RNA", at positions 524 to 776 of the family's 1533-position model. The record is from RNAcentral.
UACGUAGGGUGCGAGCGUUGUCCGGAAUUAUUGGGCGUAAAGAGCUCGUAGGCGGUUUGUCACGUCUGCUGUGAAAUCCCGAGGCUCAACCUCGGGUCUGCAGUGGGUACGGGCAGACUGGAGUGCGGUAGGGGAGAAUGGAAUUCCUGGUGUAGCGGUGGAAUGCGCAGAUAUCAGGAGGAACACCGAUGGCGAAGGCAGUUCUCUGGGCCGUAACUGACGCUGAGGCGCGAAAGCGUGGGGAGCAAACAGG